RNAcentral lists this unclassified non-coding RNA (341 nucleotides) under Hevea brasiliensis (rubber tree). Lineage: Eukaryota; Viridiplantae; Streptophyta; Magnoliopsida; Malpighiales; Euphorbiaceae. The record is from RNAcentral.
CCAACUUUUUUCCUGAUGUCUACUUCAAAGCCAUGAUAUAUGAUCAAGAAUAGACCUAAAGUUCCCAAAAACAACUAAUUCAUCAUAAGCUAACAUUAAUGAAUAGUUUAAAAGCAUGCAAGAGUUCAAGAAUCCCACUUCUUUCUCAUAUCCACCAUUCAACCAACCCCUUGUAUACUUUGUAGUACAAUGAUCAGUAUGCUUUAUUGCAAGCUGGGAUUAGUUUAGUUUUGAACAUAAUUGUAAUUAUCAGGGUACUGUCACUCUUGAAAGAUCAAAUUUUUUUCCUUGGCAUGUCUUGUCUUGGCGAUGGAUUCCUCUGUUAGUAAGCAGAGUAGCCC